Molecule: ribosomal RNA, 279 nt
Filed under: uncultured bacterium
Lineage: Bacteria
Description: partial 16S ribosomal RNA
Rfam family: Bacterial small subunit ribosomal RNA
Source: RNAcentral
UGCCAGCCGCCGCGGUAAUACGAUGGGUGCAAGCGUUGUUCGGAAUUACUGGGCGUAAAGGGCGUGUAGGCGGACUUUAAAGAUAGGGGUGAAAUCCAUGGGCUCAACCUGUGAACUGCCUUUAUAACUUAUGGUCUGGAGUUCGAGAGAGGGUGGCGGGAUUUCCAGUGUAGAGGUGAAAUUCGUAGAUAUUGGAAAGAACACCAGUGGCGAAGGCGGCCACCUGGCUCGAUACUGACGCUGAGGCGCGAAAGCGUGGGGAGCAAACAGGAUUAGAUA